UGGGGAAUAUUGCACAAUGGGCGCAAGCCUGAUGCAGCAACGCCGCGUGAGGGAUGACGGCCUUCGGGUUGUAAACCUCUUUUAGUAGGGAAGAAGCGAAAGUGACGGUACCUGCAGAAAAAGCACCGGCUAACUACGUGCCAGCAGCCGCGGUAAUACGUAGGGUGCGAGCGUUGUCCGGAAUUAUUGGGCGUAAAGAGCUCGUAGGCGGUCUGUCGCGUCUGCUGUGAAAACCCGAGGCUCAACCUCGGGCCUGCAGUGGGUACGGGCAGACUAGAGUGCGGUAGGGGAGAAUGGAAUUCCUGGUGUAGCGGUGGAAUGCGCAGAUAUCAGGAGGAACACCGAUGGCGAAGGCAGUUCUCUGGGCCGUAACUGACGCUGAGGAGCGAAAGCGUGGGGAGCGAACAGGAUUAGAUACCCUGGUAGUCCACGCCGUAAACGUUGGGCGCUAGAUGUGGGGACCAUUCCACGGUUUCCGUGUCGCAGCUAACGCAUUAAGCGCCCCGCCUGGGGAGUACGGCCGCAAGGCUAAAACUCAAAGGAAUUGACGGGGUCAUAGCUG
This 562-nucleotide ribosomal RNA is filed under the name uncultured bacterium. RNAcentral's name for it is "partial 16S ribosomal RNA". It matches the Rfam family "Bacterial small subunit ribosomal RNA", at positions 355 to 932 of the family's 1533-position model. The record is from RNAcentral.